GAUGAACGCUGGCGGCGUGCCUAAUACAUGCAAGUCGAGCGAACAGACUAGGAGCUUGCUCCUUUGACGUUAGCGGCGGACGGGUGAGUAACACGUGGAUAACCUACCUAUAAGACUUGGAUAACUUCGGGAAACCGGAGCUAAUACCGGAUAACAUGUUGAACCGCAUGGUUCAACAGUGAAAGACGGUCUUGCUGUCACUUAUAGAUGGAUCCGCGCCGCAUUAGCUAGUUGGUAAGGUAACGGCUUACCAAGGCAACGAUGCGUAGCCGACCUGAGAGGGUGAUCGGCCACACUGGAACUGAGACACGGUCCAGACUCCUACGGGAGGCAGCAGUAGGGAAUCUUCCGCAAUGGGCGAAAGCCUGACGGAGCAACGCCGCGUGAGUGAAGAAGGUCUUCGGAUCGUAAAACUCUGUUAUUAGGGAAGAACAAAUGUGUAAGUAACUAUGCACGUCUUGACGGUACCUAAUCAGAAAGACACGGCUAACUACGUG
Molecule: ribosomal RNA, 497 nt
Filed under: uncultured bacterium
Lineage: Bacteria
Description: partial 16S ribosomal RNA
Rfam family: Bacterial small subunit ribosomal RNA
Source: RNAcentral